AUUGAACGCUGGCGGCAUGCCUUACACAUGCAAGUCGAACGGUAACAGGUCUUCGGAUGCUGACGAGUGGCGAACGGGUGAGUAAUACAUCGGAACGUGCCCGAUCGUGGGGGAUAACGCAGCGAAAGCUGUGCUAAUACCGCAUACGAUCUACGGAUGAAAGCGGGGGAUCGCAAGACCUCGCGCGGACGGAGCGGCCGAUGGCAGAUUAGGUAGUUGGUGGGAUAAAAGCUUACCAAGCCGACGAUCUGUAGCUGGUCUGAGAGGACGACCAGCCACACUGGGACUGAGACACGGCCCAGACUCCUACGGGAGGCAGCAGUGGGGAAUUUUGGACAAUGGGGGAAACCCUGAUCCAGCCAUGCCGCGUGCAGGAUGAAGGCCUUCGGUUGUAACUGCUUUGUACGGAACGAAAGGUACCUUCUAAUAAAGAGGGCUCAUGACGGUACCGUAAGAAUAAGCACCGGCUAACUACGUGCCAGCAGCCGCGGUAAU
Molecule: ribosomal RNA, 495 nt
Filed under: uncultured bacterium
Lineage: Bacteria
Description: bacterial SSU rRNA
Rfam family: Bacterial small subunit ribosomal RNA
Source: RNAcentral